Oreochromis aureus is the source of this 462-nucleotide long non-coding RNA. The record is from Ensembl. Lineage: Eukaryota; Metazoa; Chordata; Actinopteri; Cichliformes; Cichlidae.
ACACUUUUUACGUAGCCCGGCUGCUCGAGUUUUUUUUGCUGGUUUACCGCGACUGACGACUCGUUUAAUUAAGAGUCCAUAUUAUAUCCACAGCUACAUUCACCCUGGAGAGAAACUAGUGAGGGAGACCAUCAGGACCAAGCUGGGUUUCCUGGGUCCAGAGGUUCGGAGAAACUUCUUCCUUUUCUUUCAUCACAGCUGUCCUGUGCCAGAUGUUCUGUUGACCGACUGAGAGAGACUUCAUUUAAGAAACACCAGGAAGACUGAAGCUCAUCGCAUUGAUCAAGCAGGAUACUCCCCAGAGGCUCCAGACUUUUACAUAAAGAUAUUAUAUUCAGUCCUGUAGAAAGUUAUAUAUUUAAAAAUAUAUGAUCCUCUCUGGUUACUCUGGUAUGAAUAACUCUGAAUCACUUUAUGUUAAAUAACACAUUAUCUGCAAAAAACUGUGAAAGAAUUCCAGAU